RNAcentral lists this ribosomal RNA (495 nucleotides) under uncultured bacterium. RNAcentral's name for it is "bacterial SSU rRNA". It matches the Rfam family "Bacterial small subunit ribosomal RNA", at positions 40 to 526 of the family's 1533-position model. The record is from RNAcentral.
CAGCCGCCGUAACACAUGCAAGUCGGACGGUAGCACAGAGAGCUUGCUCUCGGGUGACGAGUGGCGGACGGGUGAGUAAUGUCUGGGAAUCUGCCCGAUAGAGGGGGAUAACCACUGGAAACGGUGGCUAAUACCGCAUAACGUCGCAAGACCAAAGAGGGGGACCUUCGGGCCUCUCACUAUCGGAUGAACCCAGAUGGGAUUAGCUAGUAGGCGGGGUAACGGCCCACCUAGGCGACGAUCCCUAGCUGGUCUGAGAGGAUGACCAGCCACACUGGAACUGAGACACGGUCCAGACUCCUACGGGAGGCAGCAGUGGGGAAUAUUGCACAAUGGGCGCAAGCCUGAUGCAGCCAUGCCGCGUGUAUGAAGAAGGCCUUCGGGUUGUAAAGUACUUUCAGCGGGGAGGAAGGCAUGAGGGUUAAUAACCUUCGUGAUUGACGUUACCCGCAGAAGAAGCACCGGCUAACUCCGUGCCAGCCGCCGCGGUAAUAC